CACAGGGAGGGGGAGGGGUGGGCAGUCAGGAAGCCUCUCCUGGCCUCGGCUUGGUCUGCCGCCGCCCCCUCCUCCUGCUGAAGCAGAGUCGUCUCAGACUACCACUCAGAUCCAGGUGUCCGGCUUGGAGGCCAGGGGCGUUCCUAACUGACCGGUCAUGACCAGUCAACACGAAUGACUGGGCCCAUGUGAUGAGCUCAAGUGACCGCAGGAUUGCCUGCAGUCCCUCUGGCCUCGGUGAGUAAGCAAGUGGCCGACAUGACCCCUCGUCAGGGUGCUGUGGUGCUGGAAGCGCUGUGCCCAGCUGAGGGACCGUGACGCUGUGGCCGCCUGACUUGCCAUCCUGAAAGGAGUGCUCAGAUCUCCAGCCCUUCACGUAAGACUGGGUGUAGACUGUGCCCGCUCAGUAUAACUGGAGAGCGUGAAGCUGGUUUCCAAAGAGGACGGAACCGUCACUCACCCACAAGAAGGGCUGGAGUGGAAGUUCCAGAAUAUGGAGCCUGCAUUAGCUUGGGUGAUGAGAUGAGACUAACAAAGAGGAGAAACCAGCACACAACCAUAAUGGACAAGUAGCAGAGCCUUGACCUUUUAAGUUUAAAAAAAAUCAUUUUGGAAAAAAGUAAAUAUAAUUUCUUCAGUCAAAAAAAAAAAAAUCCUAUCAUGAUUUAGCAUGAAAUCACUAGCAACAUUCCUAUGGAACAGUAGGGGUGAAAGCCUGAUUAAAAGUUUAAGAGGAAAUGAAAAGCAAUCAUUACAUAGGGACAGAAACCAUAUAAAACAUUUUUGAGUUUUGUACAAAAGGAAGUGAAGAAAUAAAGUGGUGAUAACCAGCAGGGAAAACAAAGCUAAGAUAUUUUUUAUUAUUUUUUUUCUUGCCGGUGUGGUAUGGUUUCAGUUUGUGUUAUUCAGAUUGCAGGUGAUGUAAGUUUUUUGUU
Non-coding RNA from Odocoileus virginianus texanus, 935 nucleotides. Lineage: Eukaryota; Metazoa; Chordata; Mammalia; Artiodactyla; Cervidae. The record is from RefSeq and is a predicted model, not a curated record.